CCUGGCUCACGAUGAACGCUAGCUACAGGCUUAACACAUGCAAGUCGAGGGGCAGCAUUUUAGUUUGCUUGCAAACUAAAGAUGGCGACCGGCGCACGGGUGAGUAACACGUAUCCAACCUGCCGAUAACUCGGGGAUAGCCUUUCGAAAGAAAGAUUAAUAUCCGAUGGUAUAUUAAAACCGCAUGGUUUUACUAUUAAAGAAUUUCGGUUAUCGAUGGGGAUGCGUUCCAUUAGUUUGUUGGCGGGGUAACGGCCCACCAAGACUACGAUGGAUAGGGGUUCUGAGAGGAAGGUCCCCCACAUUGGAACUGAGACACGGUCCAAACUCCUACGGGAGGCAGCAGUGAGGAAUAUUGGUCAAUGGACGAGAGUCUGAACCAGCCAAGUAGCGUGAAGGAUGACUGCCCUAUGGGUUGUAAACUUCUUUUAUAUGGGAAUAAAGUAUUCCACGUGUGGGAUUUUGUAUGUACCAUAUGAAUAAGGAUCGGCUAACUCCGUGCCAGCAGCCGCGGUAAUACGGAGGAUCCGAGCGUUAUCCGGAUUUAUUGGGUUUAAAGGGAGCGUAGGUGGAUUGUUAAGUCAGUUGUGAAAGUUUGCGGCUCAACCGUAAAAUUGCAGUUGAAACUGGCAGUCUUGAGUACAGUAGAGGUGGGCGGAAUUCGUGGUGUAGCGGUGAAAUGCUUAGAUAUCACGAAGAACUCCGAUUGCGAAGGCAGCUCACUAGACUGCAACUGACACUGAUGCUCGAAAGUGUGGGUAUCAAACAGGAUUAGAUACCCUGGUAGUCCACACAGUAAACGAUGAAUACUCGCUGUUUGCGAUAUACAGUAAGCGGCCAAGCGAAAGCAUUAAGUAUUCCACCUGGGGAGUACGCCGGCAACGGUGAAACUCAAAGGAAUUGACGGGGGCCCGCACAAGCGGAGGAACAUGUGGUUUAAUUCGAUGAUACGCGAGGAACCUUACCCGGGCUUAAAUUGCAUUUGAAUAAUCUGGAAACAGGUUAGCCGCAAGGCAAAUGUGAAGGUGCUGCAUGGUUGUCGUCAGCUCGUGCCGUGAGGUGUCGGCUUAAGUGCCAUAACGAGCGCAACCCUUAUCUUUAGUUACUAACAGGUCAUGCUGAGGACUCUAGAGAGACUGCCGUCGUAAGAUGUGAGGAAGGUGGGGAUGACGUCAAAUCAGCACGGCCCUUACGUCCGGGGCUACACACGUGUUACAAUGGGGGGUACAGAAGGCAGCUACCUGGUGACAGGAUGCUAAUCCCAAAAACCUCUCUCAGUUCGGAUCGAAGUCUGCAACCCGACUUCGUGAAGCUGGAUUCGCUAGUAAUCGCGCAUCAGCCAUGGCGCGGUGAAUACGUUCCCGGGCCUUGUACACACCGCCC
RNAcentral lists this ribosomal RNA (1383 nucleotides) under uncultured bacterium. RNAcentral's name for it is "bacterial SSU rRNA". It matches the Rfam family "Bacterial small subunit ribosomal RNA", at positions 18 to 1395 of the family's 1533-position model. The record is from RNAcentral.